This 429-nucleotide ribosomal RNA is filed under the name Gemmatimonadota bacterium. RNAcentral describes it as "Gemmatimonadetes bacterium partial 16S ribosomal RNA". It matches the Rfam family "Bacterial small subunit ribosomal RNA", at positions 355 to 776 of the family's 1533-position model. Lineage: Bacteria; Pseudomonadati; Gemmatimonadota. The record is from RNAcentral.
UAGGGAAUCUUCGGCAAUGGACGAAAGUCUGACCGAGCAACGCCGCGUGAGUGAAGAAGGUUUUCGGAUCGUAAAACUCUGUUGUUAGAGAAGAACAAGGACGUUAGUAACUGAACGUCCCCUGACGGUAUCUAACCAGAAAGCCACGGCUAACUACGUGCCAGCAGCCGCGGUAAUACGUAGGUGGCAAGCGUUGUCCGGAUUUAUUGGGCGUAAAGCGAGCGCAGGCGGUUUCUUAAGUCUGAUGUGAAAGCCCCCGGCUCAACCGGGGAGGGUCAUUGGAAACUGGGAGACUUGAGUGCAGAAGAGGAGAGUGGAAUUCCAUGUGUAGCGGUGAAAUGCGUAGAUAUAUGGAGGAACACCAGGGGCGAAGGCGGCGCUCUGGUCUGUAACUGACGCUGAGGCUCGAAAGCGUGGGGAGCAAACAGG